Molecule: ribosomal RNA, 500 nt
Filed under: uncultured Myrionecta
Lineage: Eukaryota; Ciliophora; Litostomatea; Cyclotrichida; Mesodiniidae
Description: SSU rRNA
Rfam family: Eukaryotic small subunit ribosomal RNA
Source: RNAcentral
GCUGUUAGACUAGCCAUGCACGUCUAAGUACAAACUAAAUGAUGGUGAAACUGCAAAUGGCUCAUUACAACGGUUAUGAUGUACCCGGGAGUUCCGAUGGAUAUUUCCAGUAACACUAGAACUAAUACAUGUCCCUGCGUUUAUUAGUUUCGCACAGUCCGUCGCUGAGUCAUGGUAAACAGUUGAUCGACUCGACGUCCCGGAACAGUUUCCGCCCCAUCAGCUUCGAUGGUUGGGUAUUGGCCUACCAUUGCAACAACGGGUAACGAGGAAUUAGGGUUUGAUUUCGGAGAGGGAGCCUGAGAAACGGCUACCACAUCUACGGAUGGCAGCAGGCGCGCAAAUUACCCAAUGCAGACACUGUGAGGUAGUGACGAGAAAUAAUAAAGCGGGACUUCUGUUCCGCUAUUAUAAUGAGGAAUAACCAAAGGUCGUUCCGAUUAGCAACUGAUGGGAAAGUCUGGUGCCAGCAGCCGCGGUAAUACCAGCGUCAGUAGCAU